GAUGAACGCUGACAGAAUGCUUAACACAUGCAAGUCUACCAAGAAUCACUUCGGUGAGGAAUGGUGGCGGACGGGUGAGUAACGCGUAAAUAAUCUGCCCUUUAGACUGGGAUAUCCUUUGGAAACGAAGGUUAAUACCGGAUAUUAUGAGAUGGACGCAUGUUCAACUUAUGAAAGCUAAAUGCACUAGAGGAGGAGUUUGCGUCCCAUUAGCUAGUUGGUGAGGUAAAGGCUCACCAAGGCCACGAUGGGUAGCCGGCCUGAGAGGGUGAACGGCCACAAGGGAACUGAGACACGGUCCUUACUCCUACGAGAGGCAGCAGUGGGGAAUAUUGGACAAUGGACCAAAAGUCUGAUCCAGCAAUUCUGUGUGCACGAUGAAGGUCUUCGGAUUGUAAAGUGAUUUCAGUAGGGAAGAAAAAAAUGACGGUACCUACAGAAGAAGCGACGGCUAAAUAUGUGCCAGCCGCCGCCGUAA
Molecule: ribosomal RNA, 478 nt
Filed under: uncultured bacterium
Lineage: Bacteria
Description: partial 16S ribosomal RNA
Rfam family: Bacterial small subunit ribosomal RNA
Source: RNAcentral